Molecule: long non-coding RNA, 3448 nt
Filed under: Triticum aestivum (bread wheat)
Lineage: Eukaryota; Viridiplantae; Streptophyta; Magnoliopsida; Poales; Poaceae
Description: long non-coding RNA (TAES_LNC025084)
Source: RNAcentral
CGGUGGGGGCGCGACGGCGUGCUGCUCGAUGGGCUAACUCGGCGGCAGUAUCAUUGACCACGGCGGCAAGGUGAGCGAGGCGGGGCCUCGGUGUUGGGAAGCACGGCGUGUGGUGGUCGGCUGGCCAUGGCGGCGGUUAAAUUGGUGGUCGCGGCCGCACUUGUUAGAUCGUGCGUGCUCUCCUCCAGCCAUGGCUGCUUGCCCCCGUACGCGCUGGUGAGCUCAAUCCAAAUCCCUUCAACAUCUGUGUCUAUGUCCGUUUGUCGCCCCGACUGUACUUCCUUUGUCCAAGCUCCUAAUUUCAUAUGCUGCUCUAUUUGAACUCUAGAAGCCACAUUGUAAGUUUUGACAGGAAUACCAUGCAAAAAUAUACUGGCGAUGUAAUUGUUGUUGGGUUUUCUCUUCUCUUUUCGAAAGCUCAUCUUGUGGGAAUUGGUUCCCUCUGACGGUCUGACUUGAUUCUACAAACUGUGCACUGUUUUGGUCAUAGUCUGUUGCAUUUUACACUUUGAUUCGAAUAUGAAAUGCACUAUGUUGAACACUAAGUAACUCCUAUCACUCGUCAUGUUAGAUACACACAGUUCUGUUUUGGACAAGUUGCUUAGAGUAGACAAUUUUUUUGAUUAAUUUCUCUGGCCUAAUACCAAUGUGAUGUGCAGAUAACUUAUAUCUCCGGCCAAGAGCUCGCCUUGAUGUCCUCACGGACUGGAGAUUCAUGACUAAGAGCUCUCCUCAAUGUAUGCAGGUACUGCCCAGACCGUAAAGAAGCUAAUUGAUGUUAAUAUACAGUUAUAUCUUUCUGAAUUUAUUUUGAGGGCAAAUGCUCGAGUCGCCGAGUAAAUGUCCAACUCGGUCUGUUUUCAGUGCACAUAUAUCAUUUCCUCAAUUUGAUGGAAAUUAGCGGCCACUUCAAUUUUCUUGUCUGCAUUUUCUUUGCAAUCAGCAAGGAAACCUAGGACAGAUGUACAUUUCCUCAUGUGAAUUCUAGUCCCUAGAUUGUUUGUGGCUUUGGGCAAUAUAAAGAAUUGGAGAAGUUUGCUAUAUAGGUUUGGAUAGAAUAUCAUAGCUGUAUCUACAACUGCUUAAUCUUUAAUUUGUAGUUGAAAUUCUGCACACAUCUCUCUGUAUUUGUUCACCUUAUCCGCUAUCAUGCACCAUAACUUUAUAAAUGAAAAUAUCCUAGUAAAGUUUCGACAGCACUAACUUUCCAAAAAUAUACAGUUUCUGUAUAUCAAGGUUGUCUUCCAGUGAUUCGCUCCUUGUUCAAGUGCUGGCAUACAUAAACUUAAACCACAAAAAAAUGUGUACACAUGUGUAUAGCUCUAAACAUAAAAAGCCUUUAGAAUCAUGCGUAGCUUUACAAAAUGCCGGACUGGAUUCUGAAUAUGCUAGAUAAUACCAUCUUCCACACAUGGUAAUAUGUUGUACCGCACCACUGUAUACACAAGUGUGUAAUUUUUUGGGUGGCUUCCUCCACCAAAACAAAAGGCUUGUGCACGACUGAUGCUAUCCAACUAGACUGUGUAAUAAUCACUGCUGAUUUUGCAUGACAGUGGGUUGUCACAGAUUUGCAACAGAGCUGAGCAGUCGUGUAGCGUCGCUGGUUCGUGUUCAUUAGUGUCAGGUUAUGGUAGCCGUUGGCAUGUUUCUUGGUGCGGUAUGCAUCUCCUCCCACCACGGCGGUCGACAACCAAGUCUAGCCGCCAUAACUCUUUAGUAUCACCCCCUCUCUCCGAUUUACAUGAGUGUGUGUCAAUUUAUUCUCCCAUGGCAAGUCUCUGUCCAUGUUAGGUUACAUUAGUAAGAAAUUUAGUUAUCUGAAUUUAGGUAGGUAAUUUAUAUUUAGUAUCUCCAUGAACUCACUCACGAUAUAGAUAAUAUUUUGGAUUGAAGUAAUGAUGUAAACUGCAACUAUACAAACCAAUACAUGUAGUUCAGGUCGAAAUUCGAAGGUGGUGUUACACCUUGGCUAAAUUUUUGUGUAUGCUGCUAACUUUAGGAUUGUUUUACACUAUUCUUUGUUGUAAACAAACCAGGUAAUGUCGUGAAAUCCAAGAGUUUUUCAGAUUUCUAUUUACGGCAUGAUUUACCUCCAAUUCUUUGCAUGCGCGGUUUUCAUUUUGAUGACUCUCAGCUGCCAGACAAAAUAGAGAAUGUUGCUGUAAAAUGCAUGACAACCAUAUACUCCCUCUAUUCCCAAAUAUUUGUCUUUCUAGACAUUUUAAAUGGACUACAACAUACGGAUGUAUGUAGACAUAUUUUAGAAUGUAGAUUCGCUCAUUUUGCUUCGUAUGUAAUCACUUGUUAAAAUCUAUAAAAAAGACAAAUAUUUGGUAACGGGGGGAGUAAAUAGUGACUGCAUGUUGUUUUAAUCAAUCCAUUUUUCUAUUGUAGCAACACUUUAUUGUUAUCCUAGUUGUGCGAUAAUUUACCGUUUCUAUGAAUCAAUUUCAGGUGCUCCUUUUUAUCAUGAUUACAUCAUGUGGUAGCCUGCUUUUUAAGGUAUUUAAGUUUUGAUGCUAUGUACUCCCUCCGUGUCCAAAAAUAAAUCUUUUUAGAGAUUCCAAUAUAGAUUACAUAUGGAACAAAAUGAGUCACUCUAAAAUAUGUCUAUACAAAUCCGUAUGUAGUUCAUAGGGAAAUCUCUAAAAAGACUUAUAUUUAGAAACGGAGGGAGUAAUUCAUAUGCAUUGGAUGGUGUGUGAACAACUUUUAAUCUUGAUCUCUUUUAUUUCAUGCUUAUCCAAUUGUAGCUCGCACAGUUUGAUACACGGCAUGGUUUAGGUUGCAUUGAAACGGUAGUUACAGAGCUCGGCCUCUUUGUCUUGUUUCUCUGUUUACUAUUGAUUCAUACAUGUAGCCAGCGUGUUCAUGUGAUUUCUUGUACGUCCAAACUUCGCUUGCUAUAUAUUUGAUAUUGAUUCUUUUUCAGCUUAAGGUAGUAAAGCCCCAGUCUACCUUCAAGUGUGAUUCAUAUGUUCUUGUUUGUUCGUGGUCUCUACCUGUUUGUUCUUCUGAGAACUAAACAUAUUAUGUUUCUUCAGGUCUCUAUUCAAGUGGAUGACGGGAAAUGUAUGAGGGAUAGAGAGGAAUAAGUUUUCUGGAACACGUCUUUGUAGUGUAUGGUGGGUACAAGUAAUGUUAGAUUCAAAAUUUAGAGCUUUUGCCAAUAAUAAGUAGCAAAAUUCAGGAUUGCUGAGAAGGGAGGUGAACCUAAUGGCUUCAGUACUAUUGUUACGAUACUAUGUUGCUUCCAGGCUAUCGAUGAGAAUAGUUCAGUCGCUUUAGAGAUUGUUGAACAUAUGAAAUUGAUUGUAAUCUCUGGGCACCCUCAAGUUAAGCUGCUUGAAGACCAAGUUCAAAUAUGUGUGAGGGCAGUGUGGUUGGGCAUGCGAGUCAAUUGCACCUGAUGUAAUCAGACCAUUAGAUCUGUUUUGAAAUAGUGAUC